GGGGCUGUAGCUCAGCUUGGGAGAGCGCUUGCAUGGCAUGNNUGGUAGAGCGCUUGCAUGGCAUGCAAGAGGUCGUCGGUUCGAUCCCGAUCAGCUCCA
This 99-nucleotide transfer RNA is filed under the name Candidatus Wallbacteria bacterium. RNAcentral's name for it is "tRNA-Ala". It matches the Rfam family "tRNA". From Rfam's summary of the family: Transfer RNA (tRNA) molecules are approximately 80 nucleotides in length. Lineage: Bacteria; Candidatus Walliibacteriota. The record is from RNAcentral.